AUCACCUCAACAUGACCCUGUGGUCUCCUCCCAUUAGGCUGUGUAUAUCACCUCAACAUUACCCUGUGGUCUCCUCCCAUUAGGCUGUGUAUAUACCCUCAACAUUACCCUGUGGUCUCCUCCCAUUAGGUUGUAUAUAUACCCUCAACAUUACCCUGUGGUCUCCUCCCAUUAGGCUGUGUAUAUCACCUCAACAUGACCCUGUGAUCUCCUCCCAUUAGGCUGUGUAUAUCCCCUCAACAUUACCCUGUGGUCUCCUCCCAUUAGGCUGUGUAUAUCACCUCAACAUUACCCUGUGGUCUCCUCCCAUUAGGUUGUGUAUAUCACCUCAACAUUACCCUGUGGUCUCCUCCCAUUAGGUUGUAUAUAUACCCUCAACAUUACCCUGUGGUCUCCUCCCAUUAGGCUGUGUAUAUCACCUCAACAUGACCCUGUGGUCUCCUCCCAUUAGGCUGUGUAUAUCACCUCAACAUUACCCUGUGGUCUCCUCCAAUUAGGUUGUAUAUAUACCCUCAACAUUACCCUGUGGUC
Molecule: long non-coding RNA, 531 nt
Organism: Oncorhynchus tshawytscha (Chinook salmon)
Lineage: Eukaryota; Metazoa; Chordata; Actinopteri; Salmoniformes; Salmonidae
Exons: 3
Source: RefSeq, a predicted model, not a curated record